CUCAGUUCGGAUUGGAGUCUGCAACCCGACUCCAUGAAGCUGGAUUCGCUAGUAAUCGCGCAUCAGCCACGGCGCGGUGAAUACGUUCCCGGGCCUUGUACACACCGCCCGUCAAGCCAUGGAAGCCGGGAGUGCCUGAAGUGCGUGACCGCAAGGAGCGUCCUAAGGCAAUACCGGUGACUGGGGCUAAGUCGUAACAAGGUAAC
This 206-nucleotide ribosomal RNA is filed under the name uncultured bacterium. Its description in RNAcentral is "partial 16S ribosomal RNA". It matches the Rfam family "Bacterial small subunit ribosomal RNA", at positions 1287 to 1500 of the family's 1533-position model. The record is from RNAcentral.